CAUGUAGGCGGUCUGUCAAGUCUGAUGUGAAAGCCCGGGGCUCAACCCCGGAAGUGCAUUGGAAACUGGCAGACUUGAGUACGGGAGAGGAAAGUGGAAUUUCGAGUGUAGGGGUGAAAUCCGUAGAUAUUCGAAGGAACACCAGUGGCGAAGGCGGCUUUCUGGACCAAUACUGACGCUGAGAUGCGAAAGCGUGGGGAGCAAACAGGAUUAGAUACCCUGGUAGUCC
RNAcentral lists this ribosomal RNA (229 nucleotides) under uncultured bacterium. RNAcentral's name for it is "partial 16S ribosomal RNA". It matches the Rfam family "Bacterial small subunit ribosomal RNA", at positions 568 to 796 of the family's 1533-position model. The record is from RNAcentral.